Branchiostoma belcheri (Belcher's lancelet) is the source of this 359-nucleotide long non-coding RNA. RefSeq lists it as uncharacterized. NCBI's taxonomy places the organism in Eukaryota, Metazoa, Chordata, Leptocardii, Amphioxiformes, Branchiostomatidae. The transcript is spliced from 2 exons. The record is from RefSeq and is a predicted model, not a curated record.
UCCUGGGUGGAAACCAUGGAGAAGUCUGGAGCCUCGGAUGUGAUGGUGGCUUAUGCCUUUUACAAGAUUGCAACUCCAGCCCGUUACACCGUGACCCUGGGCGGAACGACUUUCACGAUACGCUACCUGCGCAAGAAAGGUGUCAUGCAGAAGCCUCCCCCUUCCAAACACAUGGAGAAAAUGAAGGACUUUAUCCAGGAGAAAAGGGACCAGCUGAAAAAUAAGUAGACUUUUCUGGCAGAGAACAUCAAGGUUCCAUCCAUGACCAGCUGUCUUGUCUAGAUAUAAGGCCACAGCAAGUAAAUUUUAUGGAUGACAUCCUCCGACUCCAAAUCUAAUGCGAGCGGGCGAAAAAAAAA